RNAcentral lists this ribosomal RNA (403 nucleotides) under Verrucomicrobiota bacterium. RNAcentral's name for it is "Verrucomicrobia bacterium partial 16S ribosomal RNA". It matches the Rfam family "Bacterial small subunit ribosomal RNA", at positions 355 to 776 of the family's 1533-position model. Lineage: Bacteria; Pseudomonadati; Verrucomicrobiota. The record is from RNAcentral.
UGGGGAAUUUUGCACAAUGGGGGAAACCCUGAUGCAGCGACGCCGCGUGAUUUAGAAGGCCUUCGGGUUGUAAAAAUCUUUUGUAUGGGAAGAAAAUGACAGUACCAUACGAAUAAGGACCGGCUAAUUACGUGCCAGCAGCCGCGGUAAUACGUAGGGUGCGAGCGUUGUCCGGAAUUACUGGGCGUAAAGAGCUCGUAGGCGGUUUGCCACGUCGUCUGUGAAAUCCUAGGGCUUAACCCUGGACGUGCAGGCGAUACGGGCUGACUUGAGUACUACAGGGGAGACUGGAAUUUCUGGUGUAGCGAUGGAAUGCACAGAUAUCAGGAAGAACACCGAUGGCGAAGGCAGGUCUCUGGGUAGUAACUGACGCUGAGGAGCGAAAGCAUGGGUAGCGAACAGG